Molecule: transfer RNA, 4971 nt
Filed under: Trichococcus sp. ES5
Lineage: Bacteria; Bacillati; Bacillota; Bacilli; Lactobacillales; Carnobacteriaceae
Source: RNAcentral
AAAACUAUGCGGUAUUAGCACCCGUUUCCGGAUGUUAUCCCCCUCUUAUGGGCAGGUUACCCACGUGUUACUCACCCGUUCGCCACUAUCUUCUCAGUGGAAGCAAGCUUCCAUAGAAAAGACCGUUCGACUUGCAUGUAUUAGGCACGCCGCCAGCGUUCGUCCUGAGCCAGGAUCAAACUCUCAUGUAAUGUGGGCUCUUGUACAGAAACCCUCAUGAAAAGCUGAAUAGCUCUUAAUUUCUUGCUGACUUUAUGUUUGCGAUACGAUGUAUCGCCUUCGUUUGCUUUGACCGAAGUCUAAGCUCCCUGCACAUUUGGUUCGUUCAUUCUUUGUUCAGUUUUCAAAGGUCAAUCGCGCAUCACGUAUUACGUGAUUGCUUAUUUAUAUUAUCACGGCUCCUGCUGUCCGUCAAGCCUUUUCUGAAAUUUUUUCAGAAGCAUUAUCGGCUUGCAGAUGCGUGGAUCAGCAACUUUUAUAUAAUAUCACGCUCUAAAUCGUCUGUCAACAAUUUUUUCAAAUCAUUUCAAAGCCGAUUCUGGCGGACAACUUCUAUAUACUAUCAUCGCAACCAAAUGCUGUCAACGAUUUUUUAAUUUUUUUUAAAGACUUCCGUCACCACCCGUAUAAACACUGGCGUUCUUCACAAUAUGGCAUGUGGAUCAGCGGUCCAAACUCCCUGGAUUCCGACUUUCGCAUUCGGAUUCUCUGAUGGAUUUGUCCCGCUCACCAUGCCUAUUUAUAUCAAUUCACAGGUUGUGCUGUUUUUUUGGCGAUAUUCUCCAAAAAGUUCCGGAUAAGCGUCUGACCAUCUUUUGUGAAGAUGGACUCGGGAUGGAACUGCAGGCCAUAGACGGCAUGCUCCUUGUGCUUCAUCGCCAUAAUGACGCCAUCAUCGACACUUCUCGAGAGUAUUUCCAGUUCAUCGGGAAGGCUAUUUUCUUCGACAACCAGCGAAUGGUAACGCAUGACCUCGAAAGGGGAAGCGAUCCCUUGGAAAAGCGGAUCUCCGUUAUGCGUGACCAUGGAUGUUUUGCCGUGCUUCAGCGUUUCCGCACGAAUGACAUUCCCGCCAUAAGCAUACCCGAUGGCCUGAUGCCCAAGACAGAUUCCUAGCAAAGGUACUUUUCCGGCAAACUCCCGGACCACAUCAACGCAAAUCCCGGCAUCUUCCGGCACGCCCGGUCCUGGGGAAAGGAUGAUGCAGUCCAGGUCCAUCCCUUUCAUUUCAUCAAGUGUCAGGGCAUCAUUGCGCAGAACCUGCACAUCCGGAUUGAUUUCUCCGAUGUAUUGGUAGAGGUUGUACGUAAAGGAAUCAUAGUUAUCGAUCAAUAAAAUCAUUCAGAUUACCUCCUUCAAGGCCAUUGCUUUGUUGAGCGUCUCGGUAUAUUCCGAUUGCGGAACGGAAUCGUGCACAAUCCCUGCGCCGGCUUGAACAUAGGCGAAGCCGUCCUUCAGAAUGAUGGUCCGGAUGGCGAUGCAGGUGUCCAUGUUGCCAUUAUAGGAAAAAUAGCCGACCGCACCGGCAUAGAUGCCCCGCUUCGUUUUUUCCAAUUCGUCAAUGAUGCCCAUCGCCCUUAUUUUCGGCGCACCUGAUACGGUCCCUACAGGCAAACACGCGCUCAAGGCUUCAAAGCAGGUCAGACCCGGUUUCAAUUUGCCGGUCACCUUCGAAACGAUGUGCAUAACGUGUGAAUAAAUAUCCACUUCCAUGAACUUAUCCAGCUUGACGCUGCCGAAUUCGCUAAUCCUGCCGAUGUCGUUCCUUCCCAAAUCCACCAGCAUCACAUGUUCUGCCCGCUCCUUCUCAUCUGCGAGCAACUCUUUCUUCAAUUCAUUGUCUUCCUCUUCGUUCUUCCCUCUUCUGCGCGUUCCGGCUAUUGGAUUCGUCAUGACUUCGCCAUCCUGAACGGUGACCAGACUUUCCGGGGAUGAACCGACCACCUGGAAAUCACCCAGAUCGAUAUAGAAAAGGUAAGGCGACGGAUUCUUUGUGCGCAGUCUUCUGUAAAUAUCGAACGGUUCGGAUUCCGAUUUGAUAGUCAAGCGCUGCGAAAGGACAACCUGAAAGAUGUCGCCCGCUUUGAUGUAUUCUUUUGCUUUCUCGACGAGUUUACAAAAUUCCGCUUCGCUGACAUUUGAGGAAACUUCUUGAUUCGGAUUCACCUCUUGGAAAGGUCGGAUGCCAUUCGUCUGGUUCAUCGUUUCGGCUAACUUUUCCAGAUUGGCAGUGAUUGUUUCAUAAUCCUCCGUGUCCUCGGGGAAAACAUUAUGGACAAGCGUCAUUUUGUGUUGGUAGUGGUCGUAGCUGAUGAAUUGCUUGUAGAACAUCAAGUAGGCUUCAGGCGCCUGCAGUUCAUCCGGGUUCACAUUCGGCAGCUUUUCGUAUUGUCGGAUGACAUCGUAACCGACAUAACCGAUCGCGCCGCCGACGAAAGGCAACGGGAUAUCGGUCUUGAGAUACGGAAUCGACACCUGCUCUUUUACGUAAUCGAGCACCUUGCCUUUUUUGUGCACGGGUUGCCCAUCGGUGAUGAUCGUGACGUCUUCGCCCAUACUCGUGAUGCUCUUAUAAGGGUUCGAACCCAAGAAGGAGUAUCUCCCGAUUUCCCGCUCCGAAAAGACACUCUCAAACAAAAACUUAUGCUCCCCUUCGAGAUUGUAGUACAUGCCGAUAGGCGUCAAUUGAUCCGCAUUGACCGUCAAGUGUACCGGAAACACCUUAUUAUGCUUUUUUGCUGCUGCAAAUUCUGUUGCUGUCAGAUUAAACAUUCCAUUCACCCCUAAUGAGAUUUUUUGCUGUUUCUGCUUGAUUCAGGGGAUUUUGGGUACAAAAAAAGCCACAACAUCCCCUAUAAUGGGACGAUGUAGCCGCGGUGCCACCCAUAUUAGUUCUCUACUGUUGACUCACACCCGACACUGUCGUUCUUUGCGCUCCUUGCCUCCUUAUCGGAAUCAAGGACCCAAUGCGUCACCAAAAAAUGGGCUAUGCAUUGUUUUCGCGCUAAUACUACAGAAUCAAAAAAACACUUCCUCCUCAAAAGGACGAAAUGUUUCCAUUCGUUUGCCACCUCAGUACAAAACUCGCUCUGCGGGUACGGAUGUUACUCGAUACCCCGUCCUUUUAACGGCGGACUCCCGGUUUUUGCUACUAUAAUUUUCGCAUCACGUCUCAGAGAUCCAUUCACCGACAGCUACAGUGCUUGGCUUUCACUGCCCCAAACUCGCUUUGACUAAACGCCAUUGGUUACUACUUCUCAUCACAGAUUUUAUUAAUUUAAUUUUAAUCCAUUAUAAUCCUUUUCUCAUUAUUGUCAACUGAAAAAUAUUUGUCUUUCGAAAAACCACUGAGCCCAGGCAAUAGAAAAAGAAGCCGUUCAUAACAAAGUACUCCUUGUUAUGAACAGCUUCUUUUGUGAUACCGGCGGCCGGGGUCGAACCGGCACGCCCUCGCGGGCACUGGAUUUUGAGUCCAGCGCGUCUGCCAAUUCCGCCACGCCGGCAUGAUUAUGAAGAAUGCAAUGUUCCAUUUUGUUGUUAUGGAAAGGCGGUAACCGGAUUUGAACCGGUGAUAGAGGUUUUGCAGACCUGUGCCUUACCACUUGGCUAUACCGCCGAGAUGUUGCUAUUUAAAAAAAACUGGGCUAGCUGGAUUCGAACCAACGAAUGACAGAGUCAAAGUCUGUUGCCUUACCGCUUGGCGAUAGCCCAAUAAGAGGGCGACUGAUGGGAAUUGAACCCACGAAUGCCGGAUCCACAAACCGGUGCGUUAACCACUUCGCCACAAUCGCCAUAAUAUAAUGUUGAGACAGGGGUAGUAGGAAUUGAACCCACACCGACGGUUUUGGAGACCGUUGUUCUACCUUUAAACUAUACCCCUAUUCAGAGGAUGCUUUUUAAAGAAAUGGAGGGAGGCAGAUUCGAACUGCCGAACCCGAAGGAGCGGAUUUACAGUCCGCCGCGUUUAGCCACUUCGCUAUCCCUCCAUCAUAUAAAAAAAUGGUCCGAGACGGAUUCGAACCGCCGACACCUUGAGCUUCAAUCAAGUGCUCUACCAACUGAGCUAUCAGACCAGAAUAAAAUUGUAAAAACGGCUCCGACGGGAUUUGAACCCGCGAUCUCCUGCGUGACAGGCAGGCAUGUUGACCCCUACACCACGGAACCAAUGGAGGUUGACGGGAUCGAACCGCCGACAUCCUGCUUGUAAGGCAGACGCUCUCCCAGCUGAGCUAAACCUCCAGGGAUUGAAAAAUGAAGAGCCUAGGCUCCGGUGUAUCCUAUCUGUACAACAGCUAGGUUAAUGAUCCGUACGGGAAUCGAACCCGUGUUACCGCCGUGAAAGGGCGGUGUCUUAACCGCUUGACCAACGGACCAUAAGUUUGAAAACUGUUAAAUUGAGAUUGAAUGGAUAGAACUAACAUCCAUUCGUAUCCUGUCUGGAAAGCAGCUAAAGCCGCAACAGCUAGGAUGAUGAUCCGUACGGGAAUCGAACCCGUGUUACCGCCGUGAAAGGGCGGUGUCUUAACCGCUUGACCAACGGACCGUAAAUUUGAAAACUAUUUAAAUAGGAAUAAUUAGAUGGAGCUAACAUCCAUUCUUAUCCUGUCUAGAAAGCAACUAAAGCCGCAACAGCUAGGAUGAUGAUCCGUACGGGAAUCGAACCCGUGUUACCGCUGUGAAAGGGCGGUGUCUUAACCGCUUGACCAACGGACCAUAAGUUUAGAAUACAUAUUGCAAUGGAGGUUGACGGGAUCGAACCGCCGACAUCCUGCUUGUAAGGCAGACGCUCUCCCAGCUGAGCUAAACCUCCAGGGAUUGAAAAUCGUAGAGCCUAGGCUCCGGUGUAUCCUGUCUGUACAACAGCUAGGAUAAUGAUCCGUACGGGAAUCGAACCCGUGUUACCGCCGUGAAAGGGCGGUGUCUUAACCGCUUGACCAACGGACCAUCUUGUUUAUUUUUCUGAUAAAGCUA